GAUGAACGCUGGCGGCGUGCCUAAUACAUGCAAGUCGAGCGAACGGACGAGAAGCUUGCUUCUCUGAUGUUAGCGGCGGACGGGUGAGUAACACGUGGAUAACCUACCUAUAAGACUGGGAUAACUUCGGGAAACCGGAGCUAAUACCGGAUAAUAUUUUGAACCGCAUGGUUCAAAAGUGAAAGACGGUCUUGCUGUCACUUAUAGAUGGAUCCGCGCUGCAUUAGCUAGUUGUUAAGGUAACGGCUUACCAAGGCAACGAUGCAUAGCCGACCUGAGAGGGUGAUCGGCCACACGGGAACUGAGACACGGUCCAGACUCCUACGGGAGGCAGCAGUAGGGAAUCUUCCGCAAUGGGCGAAAGCCUGACGGAGCAACGCCGCGUGAGUGAUGAAGGUCUUCGGAUCGUAAAACUCUGUUAUUAGGGAAGAACAUAUGUGUAAGUAACUGUGCACAUCUUGACGGUACCUAAUCAGAAAGCCACGGCUAACUACGUG
Molecule: ribosomal RNA, 497 nt
Filed under: uncultured bacterium
Lineage: Bacteria
Description: partial 16S ribosomal RNA
Rfam family: Bacterial small subunit ribosomal RNA
Source: RNAcentral